GGGAAGCCGGUGAGAGUCCGGCGCUGACCCGCAGCCGUAAAGCCGGAACACC
Regulatory RNA element from Nocardioides sp. Root151, 52 nucleotides. Lineage: Bacteria; Bacillati; Actinomycetota; Actinomycetes; Propionibacteriales; Nocardioidaceae. The record is from Rfam.